AUGAACGCUGGCGGCGUGCCUAAUACAUGCAAGUCGAGCGAACAGACGAGGAGCUUGCUCCUCUGACGUUAGCGGCGGACGGGUGAGUAACACGUGGAUAACCUACCUAUAAGACUGGGAUAACUUCGGGAAACCGGAGCUAAUACCCGAUAAUAUAUUCAACCGCAUGGUUCCAUAGUGAAAGACGGUUUUGCUGUCACUUAUAGAUGGAUCCGCGCCGCAUUAGCUAGUUGGUAAGGUAACGGCUUACCAAGGCAACGAUGCGUAGCCGACCUGAGAGGGUGAUCGGCCACACUGGAACUGAGACACGGUCCAGACUCCUACGGGAGGCAGCAGUAGGGAAUAUUCCGCAAUGGGCGAAAGCCUGACGGAGCAACGCCGCGUGAGUGAUGAAGGUCUUCGGAUCGUAAAACUCUGUUAUUAGGGAAGAACAAAUGUGUAAGUAACUAUGCACGUCUUGACGGUACCUAAUCAGAAAGCCACGGCUAACUACGUG
Molecule: ribosomal RNA, 496 nt
Filed under: uncultured bacterium
Lineage: Bacteria
Description: partial 16S ribosomal RNA
Rfam family: Bacterial small subunit ribosomal RNA
Source: RNAcentral